AGUCUGACGGAGCAACGCCGCGUGAGUGAUGAAGGUUUUCGGAUCGUAAAACUCUGUUGUUAGGGAAGAACAAGUACGAGAGUAACUGCUCGUACCUUGACGGUACCUAACCAGAAAGCCACGGCUAACUACGUGCCAGCAGCCGCGGUAAUACGUAGGUGGCAAGCGUUGUCCGGAAUUAUUGGGCGUAAAGCGCGCGCAGGCGGUCCUUUAAGUCUGAUGUGAAAGCCCACGGCUCAACCGUGGAGGGUCAUUGGAAACUGGGGGACUUGAGUGCAGAAGAGAAGAGUGGAAUUCCACGUGUAGCGGUGAAAUGCGUAGAGAUGUGGAGGAACACCAGUGGCGAAGGCGACUCUUUGGUCUGUAACUGACGCUGAGGCGCGAAAGCGUGGGGAGCAAACAGGAUUAGAUACCCUGGUAGUCCACGCCGUAAACGAUGAGUGCUAAGUGUUAGAGGGUUUCCGCCCUUUAGUGCUGCAGCAAACGCAUUAAGCACUCCGCCUGGGGAGUACGGCCG
Molecule: ribosomal RNA, 517 nt
Filed under: Niallia circulans
Lineage: Bacteria; Bacillati; Bacillota; Bacilli; Caryophanales; Bacillaceae
Description: bacterial SSU rRNA
Rfam family: Bacterial small subunit ribosomal RNA
Source: RNAcentral